This 486-nucleotide ribosomal RNA is filed under the name uncultured bacterium. RNAcentral describes it as "partial 16S ribosomal RNA". It matches the Rfam family "Bacterial small subunit ribosomal RNA", at positions 899 to 1397 of the family's 1533-position model. The record is from RNAcentral.
ACUCAAAGGAAUUGACGGGGGCCCGCACAAGCAGCGGAGCGUGUGGUUUAAUUCGACGCAACGCGUAGAACCUUACCAGGGUUUGACAUCGCCAGGCAAAGGGCGGAAACGUCCUCCCCGCGCAAGCGGCCUGGGGACAGAUGCUGCAUGGCUGUCGUCAGCUCGUGCCGUGAGGUGUUGGGUUAAGUCCCGCAACGAGCGCAACCCUCGGGGGUAGUUACCGUGUCUACCCCGACUGCCGCGACAAACGCGGAGGAAGGUGGGGAUGAUGUCAAGUCAGCACGGCUCUUACAUCCUGGGCUACACACACGCUACAAUGGACGCGACAAUGGGCGUGCCAAGCCGCAAGGCGGAGCGAAUCCCAGCAAAGGCGUCCUCAGUUCAGAUCGGCGUCUGCAACCCGACGCCGUGAAGGCGGAGUUGCUAGUAACCGCAGGUCAGCACACUGCGGUGAAUACGUUCCCGGGCCUUGUACACACCGCCCGU